GGGGGUAUGGCGAAAUUGGUAGACGCUGCGGACUUAAAAAAUCCGUUGGCUUUUUUAUAGACCAUGAGGGUUCAAGUCCCUCUACCCCCA
RNAcentral lists this transfer RNA (90 nucleotides) under Radula japonica. Its description in RNAcentral is "tRNA-Leu". It matches the Rfam family "tRNA". From Rfam's summary of the family: Transfer RNA (tRNA) molecules are approximately 80 nucleotides in length. Their secondary structure includes four short double-helical elements and three loops (D, anti-codon, and T loops). Further hydrogen bonds mediate the characteristic L-shaped molecular structure. tRNAs have two regions of fundamental functional importance: the anti-codon, which is responsible for specific mRNA codon recognition, and the 3' end, to which the tRNAs corresponding amino acid is attached (by aminoacyl-tRNA synthetases). tRNAs cope with the degeneracy of the genetic code in two manners: having more than one tRNA (with a specific anti-codon) for a particular amino acid; and 'wobble' base-pairing, i.e. permitting non-standard base-pairing at the 3rd anti-codon position. Lineage: Eukaryota; Viridiplantae; Streptophyta; Jungermanniopsida; Radulales; Radulaceae. The record is from RNAcentral.